Long non-coding RNA from Dermacentor silvarum, 371 nucleotides. RefSeq lists it as uncharacterized. The transcript has 3 exons. NCBI's taxonomy places the organism in Eukaryota, Metazoa, Arthropoda, Arachnida, Ixodida, Ixodidae. The record is from RefSeq and is a predicted model, not a curated record.
ACCGCAGCAUCAGAACCAAACACCGCCAGCUGGACAAGAGGUGCAGCCUACGGGCCGGUGGGAACAAGAACCGAGGAAGCUGGAGGGAGGCGAGGAUUCGCACGUUAUCCCACCGCAUUGGAAGCAGGAAGCACGGACAGAUAUUUCGCGGGAACCGCAGCCACGGCCGCAGCAGGUCAUGAAACCAGUGGGUGCAGCUCGGCUAGGUGCACGACCAGAAGGCCAAGUGAAAGCUGGAAGGAAAUUAAGUAGACAAACACCACGUGAGCUCUCCUUGUUCCCGAGCCCGAUGGCGAUAGUGGUGGUCUUCCUCAUGGCUCUAUUUGGCGUUCCUCUCAGCGUCCUGGUCUUCAAGGCGUUCCCGAGGACCG